This 501-nucleotide ribosomal RNA is filed under the name uncultured bacterium. Its description in RNAcentral is "partial 16S ribosomal RNA". It matches the Rfam family "Bacterial small subunit ribosomal RNA", at positions 30 to 523 of the family's 1533-position model. The record is from RNAcentral.
AUUGAACGCUGGCGGCAGGCUUAACACAUGCAAGUCGAGCGGAGAUGAGGUGCUUGCACCUUAUCUUAGCGGCGGACGGGUGAGUAAUGCUUAGGAAUCUGCCUAUUAGUGGGGGACAACAUUCCGAAAGGAAUGCUAAUACCGCAUACGUCCUACGGGAGAAAGCAGGGGAUCUUCGGACCUUGCGCUAAUAGAUGAGCCUAAGUCGGAUUAGCUAGUUGGUGGGGUAAAGGCCUACCAAGGCGACGAUCUGUAGCGGGUCUGAGAGGAUGAGCCGCCACACUGGGACUGAGACACGGCCCAGACUCCUACGGGAGGCAGCAGUGGGGAAUAUUGGACAAUGGGGGGAACCCUGAUCCAGCCAUGCCGCGUGUGUGAAGGAGGCCUUAUGGUUGUAAAGCACUUUAAGCGAGGAGGAGGCUACUGAGACUAAUACUCUUGGAUAGUGGACGUUACUCGCAGAAUAAGCACCGGCUAACUCUGUGCCAGCAGCCGCGGUAA